RNAcentral lists this ribosomal RNA (507 nucleotides) under Cloeon simile. RNAcentral's name for it is "partial 16S ribosomal RNA". It matches the Rfam family "Bacterial large subunit ribosomal RNA", at positions 1826 to 2606 of the family's 2925-position model. Lineage: Eukaryota; Metazoa; Arthropoda; Insecta; Ephemeroptera; Baetidae. The record is from RNAcentral.
CAUCGCCUGAGGCUAGGAUCUUAGGUACUGCCUGCCCAAUGAUUUUCAAUGGCCGCAGUAUUUUGACUGUGCAAAGGUAGCAUAAUCACUUGUCUCUUAAUUGGAGGCUGGUAUGAAUGGCGUCACGUAGAGAAGUCUGUCCCUUUAGUGAAUCUUAAAUUAAUCUGUAAGUCAAAAAGCUUACAUAAACUCGCAGGACGAGAAGACCCCGUAGAUCUUUAUAAAUAUUAUCCCACUUAUAUUAGAAUUUAAAUUAGGUGUGAAUAAAAUUUUAUUUGGUUGGGGUGACAUGAAGUAAAUUAACACUUCAAAAUAAAACUUGAAUUAAAGGAUUAAGGAUCCGGUGCCCGAUUAAAAAUAUAAGUUACCUUGGGGAUAACAGCGUAAUCUAAUCUUAGAGUCCUUAUCAACGAUUAGGAUUGCGACCUCGAUGUUGGAUUAAGAUACAGCUUAAAUGCAGCAGUUUAAGUCUGGGGUCUGUUCGACCUUUAAAUUCUUACAUGAUCU